This 376-nucleotide ribosomal RNA is filed under the name uncultured bacterium. RNAcentral's name for it is "bacterial SSU rRNA". It matches the Rfam family "Bacterial small subunit ribosomal RNA", at positions 918 to 1297 of the family's 1533-position model. The record is from RNAcentral.
GGCCCGCACAAGCGGUGGAGUAUGUGGUUUAAUUCGAUGCAACGCGAAGAACCUUACCAGGGUUUGACAUCCUGCGAAUCUCUUGGAAACAGGAGAGUGCCUUCGGGAACGCAGUGACAGGUGGUGCAUGGCUGUCGUCAGCUCGUGUCGUGAGAUGUUGGGUUAAGUCCCGCAACGAGCGCAACCCACGUCUUUAGUUGCCAGCAUUUAGUUGGGCACUCUAGAGAGACUGCCGGUGAUAAACCGGAGAAGGUGUGGAUGACGUCAAGUCAUCAUGCCCCUUACAUCUGGGCUACACACGUGCUACAAUGGCAAGUACAACGAGUCGCAAUACCGCGAGGUGGAGCAAAUCUCUUAAAGCUUGUCUCAGUUCGGA